Molecule: long non-coding RNA, 270 nt
Organism: Pristis pectinata (smalltooth sawfish)
Lineage: Eukaryota; Metazoa; Chordata; Chondrichthyes; Rhinopristiformes; Pristidae
Exons: 3
Source: RefSeq, a predicted model, not a curated record
UAUAAUUUUAUAAUUUAUAUAAAUUACUUGUCUGAUUAUCCACAUCCUUUCUUUCGUCACGACGAAAACCCCAGGAUUUAUUUUAGCACGAUUUACAAGUGAUUUGAUAGGAUUGUUUUGUGCGACACAGGAUUGUGUAGAGGAAAGAGGCUGAUAUGUAUGUGGAAUGAGCUGCCAGAGGAAGUGAUUGAAGCAGAGAAACAAAGGACUGCAGAUGCUGGAAUCUAGAUGAAAAAAACAACAAGAUGCUGGAGGAAUUCAGCAGGCCAG